RNAcentral lists this transfer RNA (72 nucleotides) under Agaricus bisporus var. burnettii JB137-S8. RNAcentral describes it as "tRNA-Gln (CTG) (tRNA-Gln-CTG-2-1)". It matches the Rfam family "tRNA". Rfam says of the family: Transfer RNA (tRNA) molecules are approximately 80 nucleotides in length. Their secondary structure includes four short double-helical elements and three loops (D, anti-codon, and T loops). RNAcentral also lists the same sequence under 1 other name. Lineage: Eukaryota; Fungi; Basidiomycota; Agaricomycetes; Agaricales; Agaricaceae. The record is from RNAcentral.
GGCCCCGUAGUGUAGUGGUUAUCACUCAAGAUUCUGAUUCUUGUAACCCAGGUUCGAAUCCUGGCGAGGCCU